AGCGGUGGAGCAUGUGGUUUAAUUNGAAGCAACGCGAAGANCCUUACCAAAUCUUGACAUCNUNUGACACCUCUAGAGAUAGAGUUUUCCCCUUCGGGGGGACAGAGUGACAGGUGGUGCAUGGUUGUCGUCAGCUCGUGUCGUGAGAUGUUGGGUUAAGUCCCGCAACGAGCGCAACCCUUAAGCUUAGUUGCCAUCAUUAAGUUGGGCACUCUAAGUUGACUGCCGGUGACAAACCGGAGGAAGGUGGGGAUGACGUCAAAUCAUCAUGCCCCUUAUGAUUUGGGCUACACACGUGCUACAAUGGACAAUACAAAGGGCAGCGAAAUCGCGAGGUCAAGCAAAUCCCAUAAAGUUGUUCUCAGUUCGGAUUGUAGUCUGCAACUCGACUAUAUGAAGCUGGAAUCGCUAGUAAUCGUAGAUCAGCAUGCUACGGUGAAUACGUUCCCGGGUCUUGUACACACCGCCCGUCACACCACGAGAGUUUGUAACACCCGAAGC
This 501-nucleotide ribosomal RNA is filed under the name uncultured Staphylococcus sp. RNAcentral describes it as "bacterial SSU rRNA". It matches the Rfam family "Bacterial small subunit ribosomal RNA", at positions 928 to 1427 of the family's 1533-position model. Lineage: Bacteria; Bacillati; Bacillota; Bacilli; Caryophanales; Staphylococcaceae. The record is from RNAcentral.